CACCCGCAGCUCAAGUGGUGGUCACUUUUACUGAGCCUAAAGCGUUCGUAGCCGGCUUUGUAAAUCUUCAGGUAAAUUCUAGCGCUCAACGUUAGAUCGCCUGAAGAGACUGCAAAGCUUGGGACCGGGUGGGGUUGAACGUACUUUCAGGGUAGGGGUAAAAUCCUGUAAUCCUGGAAGGACGACCGGUAGCGAAGGCGUUCAACUAGAACGGAUCCGACGGUGAGGAACGAAGGCUAGGGGAGCAAACCGG
Molecule: ribosomal RNA, 253 nt
Filed under: uncultured Picrophilus sp.
Lineage: Archaea; Methanobacteriati; Thermoplasmatota; Thermoplasmata; Thermoplasmatales; Picrophilaceae
Description: partial 16S ribosomal RNA
Rfam family: Archaeal small subunit ribosomal RNA
Source: RNAcentral